UAUUAUACCCAAAUAUUAGAAAUACACAAUUUUAUAACAGUAAAAAACAAUGGUAUUUCACAAACAAUUGCAGUCGUUAAUAAAUGCAGAAAAGCAUCAUCUACACGUUUCAUACGGUAUUCAGUUUAUAUGCAAACGCAUUUAAAUAUAUUUACCUCGAUACUCGACCAAGCUGUUGAAAAAUUAUAUUAAUUAGAACGAGAACAAGUAAGAUUAAUGUGUUGUUUUCACAUUUCUUUAAAUGGCUGCCAAUACCGCAUGUAAUAAAACAAUCGAAGCGCAUGCGCAUAAUAUAUGUUACACUCCACUAAACUAGUUGCAGCAAAGACAUUCACAGGCGUUCAUGUCACUUAUAUUCAUGAUAUUUCCAUAUGCGAGUGUGAUUGUAAACACAAGUUUCUGAAAACAGUGCGAAAAGGGGCAUUACGCAAAGCCAAUAAAUCUGCGCAGAUUUUUGUCAAUAUUGACAAUAAACUGCAUGUUUUCUUACCGUUAGUAAUCCGACAGUCCGUUGGUCACAUUGUGCAUUAGUCCGUUUAAGUUAUUAUUGCCUUACACUUUUCAAUAUAAAUUUAUGAACUUUAAACAAAAUAAGUAACUAACUAAGUAACUAUUUAACUGACUAACACGCGCGUUUUUUUUCCCAAUAUCCGAGACAUUUUACUUUCGCACCUUGCCCUCAAUGUCUGGCUUUUAAAGUUUACCGCCUUUUUGCGAAUACAAUGACGUUUACAUAUGAAUUGCCCAAUGAAAAUUUCGGCGGGAUGACGUCAGGCGCCAAAACUGGCGCGUGGUUUUUCCCGGUAUAGACCCAGUGUGUCAACGCUGUAAAUGCAUUGUGGGAAACGGACUAUUUCCAGCAUGGCGCCCGUAAAGAUUAUGAACACGGAAGUAAAAAUAGUAAUAAAUUAUUAUCAAAAACAGGCCUCAUCAAACCGGGUCAGCCAUGAUAUAUUCUUGGAUGCAGUUUGUGCUUCAAAAGGAGCUACUUUUCAUGCCAGCCUAUCGAUACUAUGUGGGAACUGGGAUUCGGGAUGCUCUCCCACUGGUAUCAUAUGCAGAUCAGUGGUCACAAGAACGUACACAACAUCAUUAAUGUCAGCAAUAUAUAUCUCCAACUUCAAACACACAGCUUGCAAAAUCGCUGAAUAUUGCACAAAAGCAGCUUCGUUACAAACUUCCAGCAACUCGAAAUCCACAAGCAGUCUCGUUCCCCACCCACUUUGACUUCGUAGCGAAGGCAUGUUUUUUUUGGGAAACCGUUAACAUCUCACAACUAAACGUAUACUACGGAGAUUGACAAGUUGAAAAAUAAAUUACUGUAAUCACUUCCAAUUUGCGCACUAAGUUAAACUCCAGUUCCAGUUUGUCUUUAUUGUUGAAAUGUUACUCUACACAUUCGCUUUGAAAAUAGAGGUUGGCGUGUUGUUGGAAGUACAUGUACAUGUCGAAUGUGUUAUUGUAAAAACUAUUGGUAUUGUGUUUUUAGUGCAGACAUUGUAUUUAAGUUUCGAUUUCUAGCAUAAAUUUAUAUAUUUUGUUAAAUAAUUUGCGUUUGAAUGUGAUUGUUUGUUGCUUACUUGCGAACUAUUUUUUAUGUGUAAAUAUGCAUAGACGCUAGUGGAUAUGUAAUCAGGUUACCAUAUUUACAACAAUAAAAUUUAACGGCUGUU
Long non-coding RNA from Dreissena polymorpha, 1673 nucleotides. RefSeq lists it as uncharacterized. NCBI's taxonomy places the organism in Eukaryota, Metazoa, Mollusca, Bivalvia, Myida, Dreissenidae. The record is from RefSeq and is a predicted model, not a curated record. The transcript has 2 exons.